RNAcentral lists this ribosomal RNA (671 nucleotides) under uncultured cyanobacterium. Its description in RNAcentral is "bacterial SSU rRNA". It matches the Rfam family "Bacterial small subunit ribosomal RNA", at positions 791 to 1461 of the family's 1533-position model. Lineage: Bacteria; Bacillati; Cyanobacteriota. The record is from RNAcentral.
UAGUCCUGGCCGUAAACGGAUGAACACUAGGUGUCGGGGGAAUCGACCCCCUCGGUGUCGUAGCCAACGCGUUAAGUGUUCCGCCUGGGGAGUACGCACGCAAGUGUGAAACUCAAAGGAAUUGACGGGGGCCCGCACAAGCGGUGGACUAUGUGGUUUAAUUCGAUGCAACGCGAAGAACCUUACCAGGGUUUGACAUCCUGCGAACCCCCUGGAAACGGGGGGGUGCCUUCGGGAACGCAGUGACAGGUGGUGCAUGGCUGUCGUCAGCUCGUGUCGUGAGAUGUUGGGUUAAGUCCCGCAACGAGCGCAACCCACGUCGUUAGUUGCCAGCAUUCAGUUGGGCACUCUAGCGAGACCGCCGGUGAUAAACCGGAGGAAGGUGUGGAUGACGUCAAGUCAUCAUGCCCCUUACAUCCUGGGCUACACACGUACUACAAUGCUACGGACAAAGGGCCGCAAGCUCGCGAGAGUUAGCAAAUCCCAUAAACCGUGGCUCAGUUCAGAUCGUAGGCUGCAACUCGCCUACGUGAAGGAGGAAUCGCUAGUAAUCGCAGGUCAGCAUACUGCGGUGAAUACGUUCCCGGGCCUUGUACACACCGCCCGUCACACCAUGGAAGUUGGCCACGCCCGAAGUCGUUACUCCAACCUUGUGGAGGAGGACGCCGAAG